Molecule: non-coding RNA, 1268 nt
Organism: Lolium perenne
Lineage: Eukaryota; Viridiplantae; Streptophyta; Magnoliopsida; Poales; Poaceae
Source: RefSeq, a predicted model, not a curated record
AAAGGCAGGCGUAGUAUCUUUUCACUGAAGGAACUCAUAUUCUUUUUUUUUUGUCAAUUGCUUAAUUAUGUUCUCUUUUUUCAAUUGAUCUCCAACCAUUAGUGCUAUUCGUAUUCUCGGUACUUUUUAUUUUGCAACAAUGUUCUUAUCACCUCAACAAUUCUGUACUUUGUCCCGUGGUCUAUCUUUCUUGCUAUAUUGGCCAGGAUUACCUAGGGUUUCCUUAUCGUUCUUGUACUAGGGCUUAUCCCCCGUUGCCACUAUUCGUGGUUUGGCUGAGACACUCCUCUGUAAUCGUUGAAUUCCUCUUCUUUUGUCUAACAAAACAGAGUGUUGAGUGAGUGUUAUCUGAAUUUUGUCUCCAGAUAGUGUGUGUUUCCAGUCAAGGUGUGGAGGAGGAGAAAGCGUCCAAGGAAGCUUGGUAAUAAGAUUGGUAGGAUUUAUCAUGUUCAUCCUGGGAGUGGAUUUGUUCAUCCGCUGUCUUAUAUUGUUCAUACUAGAAUACAGAAAAAACUCGAGUUGCAUCUUCAAAAAUAUAUUGGAUCUACAUAGCCUGCUACUGUAUUUGUGAUUUACAUUUUCCGUUCACAAAUUAUGGUGCCUAUGGGCAAGAAGAGGGAAGCACCAAGCAUGUAGCUCCCACUGAACUAGAGGCAUUGCCACCUAAGGCCAAGGAAGAUUAAGAGAUGCACAUCAACGUGCAAUCAAAGAUUAAAUCGAGUCAGAGGAAAAAAAUGGAGGAGGGUUAAUGCUCAAGGACCUCGACUGCUCAGACCUGGAUGACACCACUGACGAAGAACCAGAGCCUUUGGGAGAAGAAACCACUGACCCUAGGUAGAAGAUGCAGAACAUACAUCAGCCAUGAAGUCAGCCUGCCAUUGUGCAAGAGGGACUGGCAUCCGCGACGAUGUUGGUGCCCUGGAUGAUCUGGAAACAGUGCAAUGCCCGUGUCUUCGAAGGAGAGGUGCCCUCCAUCCGUGACCAGUGUGCCAAGAUCAAAGAAGAAGCAAGAUCAUGGGCCACGGCAGGAGCGAAGGGGCUCAAAUAUGUUUUGCCUACAACCUGGGAUGUUCAUUGAUUUCAGUUUCUGUAACAUUCCUUCGGUGUAAACCUCUUAGGAGGCGUGUAACAACUCUAUCUUUUCAAUGAAAUGAAAUGUAAAGAUUUCUUUGCGUUUUCUCAAAAAAAAAAUGUGCAAGAGGGAGGAAUAAUCAGAGCACUGCCUGGGCAUAGUGAUCUGCUAUGUUGUUAAUGUUUAGUUUGUUGCA